Molecule: ribosomal RNA, 129 nt
Filed under: Ursus maritimus (polar bear)
Lineage: Eukaryota; Metazoa; Chordata; Mammalia; Carnivora; Ursidae
Source: RNAcentral
GCCUACGGCCAUACCACCUUGAACACGCCCGAUCUCAUCUGAUCUCGGAAGAUAAGGGUAUAAUGAAUAAUGCCUCAUAAAGAUGAGGACAUAAUGAAUAAGGUUUAAUAAAGUUUCUAGUCUCAGGUU